Molecule: ribosomal RNA, 497 nt
Filed under: uncultured bacterium
Lineage: Bacteria
Description: partial 16S ribosomal RNA
Rfam family: Bacterial small subunit ribosomal RNA
Source: RNAcentral
GAUGAACGCUGGCGGCGUGCCUAAUACAUGCAAGUCGAGCGAACGGACGAGAAGCUUGCUUCUCUGAUGUUAGCGGCGGACGGGUGAGUAACACGUGGAUAACCUACCUAUAAGACUGGGAUAACUUCGGGAAACCGGAGCUAAUACCGGAUAAUAUUUUGAACCGCAUGGUUCAAAAGUGAAAGACGGUCUUGCUGUCACUUAUAGAUGGAUCCGCGCUGCAUUAGCUAGUUGGUAAGGUAACGGCUUACCAAGGCAACGAUGCAUAGCCGACCUGAGAGGGUGGUCGGCCACACUGGAACUGAGACACGGUCCAGACUCCUACGGGAGGCAGCAGUAGGGAAUCGUCCGCAAAGGGCGAAAGCCUGACGGAGCAACGCCGCGUGAGUGAUGAAGGUCUUCGGAUCGUAAAACUCUGUUAUUAGGGAAGAACAUAUGUGUAAGUAACUGUGCACAUCUUGACGGUACCUAAUCAGAAAGCCACGGCUAACUACGUG